Molecule: RNA transcript, 5446 nt
Organism: Gadus chalcogrammus (walleye pollock)
Lineage: Eukaryota; Metazoa; Chordata; Actinopteri; Gadiformes; Gadidae
Exons: 4
Source: RefSeq, a predicted model, not a curated record
AACAUCACAAUUUACAGUCUUCAAAAUUAACAGCAACACUACUUAUAACAAACCCAAACUGAAUAUUUUAAACACCAUAAAGGUUUUAAUUCUUGCAGGGUUGUUGAAUCAUACUGCAUAAGUGUUAGCUAAACGUAAUCCAAUAAACUAAAUGUAAUUCAAAAUAACAUAGAAUAUUGGUUUAUAGUUGUUGUUUUUUUGUAGUUAAUAGAUAACUGUUCUUAACCACUAGUUGUCUAAAUAAAUGUUAUGUUUAUGUAAGUUUUGUGCCUUUUCCUCCAGUGGCCAAGGAAAAAUAAUACAGCAUUUUAAAGAGCAUCAUGGACAUCACCGGAGGUGUUCAGGCCUUGUCUGCAUUUAUCAAGACUGUUUGAACACAUUUCAAACCCAAACUGAACUUAAAAACCACUUGAAAGAACAUUCAAAAGGUCAUAAAAUUGUGACCAAGUUAUGCUGUGAUUUGUGUACAUUCUCAGAGCCUAGUAACAUUAUCAAAUAUUGUGCCCAUCUGAAGACUCAUUUGAGGAACAGGGAAACAGUUAAAUGUCCGUUUGCAGGUUGCUCUUUCAAGUCCAAUGUACUUUCAACAUUUACUUCUCAUAGAAGUCGCUAUCAUAGGUUGUCCACCUUAAACAGUUAAACAGACCAGAGCUUUUUGUACACGAUGCACUUACAGAUGCAGUGCUAGAAGAGGAUUAUGUUUCUUGGACUGAGGCAUCAACUUCAUAUGAUUCAGUACCCGAGGGUGUACCUCCUCUUGAAAAUGGAGAGUCAAUUAAACGUCAGUUGGCAUCUUUAUUUAUCCGUAUGCAAACAAUUCUGCAUGUUUCAAAUUCUGCAGUACAGGAAGUAAUUGAUGAGUUAUUUGACAUUGGAGACUUUGCCUAUAAAAAUAUUAAAACAAUUAUAGAGAAAGUUUUGGAGGAAAAUAACUGUGCAGCUGAUGCCUCUGUUGUUACAUCAUUGUCUGAUGAAAUACAAUCGUUGAACCCACUCAAAUUUCUUUCAAGAGCAGGGCCUUUGGGCACAGAACGUAAAAGGCAGUCAUUUUACAGAAAGAUUUUUACAGUGAUUGAACCGGUUGAAUAUGUGCUAAAUCCACAAGAAAAAAAUCAUUCAUUUGUUUAUGUUCCUAUUUUAGAUUUGUUAAGUAAGUUGUUGGAAAGAAGUGAGAUUGUAGAGACAUUACAGAGAUCCAAUGGACAGGAAGGUCAUUACUGCUCAUUUCAAGAUGGUGAAUACUUUAAAGAAAACAAACUUUUUGCUGAAGGAUUAGGCAUAGCUCUUGGCUUAUACAUUGAUGAUUUUGAAAUCUGUAAUCCAUUGGGAACUUCAAGAAAGAAACAUAAAUUGUGUGGUAUAUAUUGGGUGAUAGCUAACUUACCCAUAAGACUUAGAUCAACAUUAUCAUCAAUUUAUCUAGCUGCAUUGUGCAAAACUGUACAUAUAAAACAAUAUGGUUACAGCAAAGUUUUGGAGCCUCUGAUUAGAGACCUUCAGCAUUUAGAGACGACUGGUGUAUUUGUGAAAAGACUUGGGUCUUGUGUCAAAGGUACUGUUUUGUAUGUGUCUGCCGAUAACUUAGGUGCACACUCCCUUGCUGGAUACCAAGAGUCUUUCAACGUGGAGAAAUUUUGCAGAUUUUGUUUGGCUAACCUUAAAGAUAUUCAGCAUCAUGAUGUCAGAAGUGGGGCAUUUACUUUGAGAACACCAGAACUGUUUGAUGAAGCCAUUAAUGUGCUUAACACAACUGAUGCCUCGUGUGUUCAUGGUUUGAAGAGAAACUGUCCUUUAAGCAGACUUGCCCACUUUCAUCCUGCAAAAGGUUUUCCACCUGAUUUUCUGCACGAUUUAUUGGAGGGAAUUGUACCUGUGGAACUAUGCAUAUGUCUUUCAGAUCUUAUUGCUAAAAAGUAUUUCACAUUGAAUGAUAGAAUAGCAUCAUUUUCUUUUCAGUUUUCUGACAAAACUGACAGGCCUCAGAAAAUACCAACAACCUUUUCAAAAAAAAGAACAAUUGGUGGCAACGGACACGAGAACUGGGCACUUCUGAGAUUUCUUCCACUGUUGAUUGGCCAUCAUAUUCCAGAGGGUGAAAAGACUUGGUCUGUGAUCCUUGAACUGAAAGACAUUGUGGAGGUGUUAUCAAGCCCCUCAUUCACAACAGAAACCCUGUGCUACCUACAAGCCAAAAUUUCUGACCACAGACAGUUGCUCUUAGAAUUAUUUCCUGGUACUAAAUUACGCCCGAAACAUCAUUAUCUUGAACAUUAUCCUGUUCUGAUUCAGAAAUUUGGACCAUUAAUUGAGUUCUGGACAAUACGAUUUGAGGCAAAACAUUCUUUUUUUAAAAGAAUUGUUCACAAUACUGGCAAUUUCAAAAAUAUUCUGCACACGUUGGCCACAAGACAUCAACUGAUGUUGUCAUAUUACUUGGAGAUGCCAACUAUUUUCAAGCCAAGCAUUGAGACUGGACGAGUAUCAGUUGUGUCUGUGGGCAUCCUAGAUGCUGCAAUCAGAGAGGCUGUAUGGAAUAAGUUUGAAGGUCUGGACUCUGUUUCACUCACCUCCAUUGCUUACUUGAAUGGGACAAAAUAUUCUAAAGGCAUGGUACUCUCAGUUGGACAUACGUGUGGACUGCCAGAUUUUGGGAGAGUAUUGGAGAUCUGUGUAGUGGAUGGUUGCAUAUCAUUCAUUACUGAACUAUUCACAGCGACCUUCCAAGAGCAUCUCAGGUGUUACCAGCUCGCCAGAAGAGAUCCUGCAACAAUUGUGGUCAUUGAUCCGGACCGUCUGAAUGACUACAUUCCCCUUGCUGCAUACCCUGUUGAGGAAAAGCUGCUCGUCACUCCAAGGACAUUCAUGUUACAUUAAGGUAAUAUUUGAUUGGGUUGGUUUGUCAUACAUUUAAACAAAUUCUUAAUCUUUGGACCACAUAACGGGAUAUAAACUGCACUUAAAAGGUUAGACGACACUAUUUGCUAUAUAACGAUGUAGCGUAGAAAUGGCUACCUGAUCUCUGAAUUCACCCUCCCUAUCUGUUGUAAUCUCUCUGCUGUUUUAACUCCAUUCACAGCUUCUUUUAGAUUUAUGUUAUUUACUGUCUAAUGCUGCGUUUUCUUGUUUGUUCACUGUGUUUCAGUUCUUGGUAUCUCAUCAAUGAUGCUUCUCAGAGUCAUCGUCUCACCUCAGGAAAUAAGACGUGUCACCCUACAGGAGGUUCCCCCAUCAGUUGAUGAGUUAUGUCUAGUUCUGGGCAACACUCUGGGCCUCCGUGGGAAGUUCCUUUUACAGUUUGAAGAUCCAGACUUUGGGAAUGAGCUCUGCAAUUUGACAGACAUCAAGGACCUACCAACUGAACGAGCCACACUGAAAGUUCUGUUCACGUUUUCUGAACCAGUUUCUGACUCGACAUUAGAUACUGCAAGCCUUAGUUCCCAGAAUAGUGCAAGCCCCGAGCCCCCUGGUAGUGGUGAUUCUUCAGAAUGGCCUGAUCACUUUGUUAUUUCAGAUUUCUCCCAUGACGUUGAGUUUCAGCUGAGGGUAGCAAAUGAUGCCUAUGCCAAGGAUGGAGCUGUGAUGGUCAUCUCAAAGAGUGUGAAGAGUGAAAUACUGGACAGACUGGCUGAUAGCAUAACCAGAAUCACUUGCUAUCCAAGUAAAGACAAUUUAGAAAGCGUAGCCAAAGCUCUUGUUGAAAAGCAUCCUUGUCUCAGGGAGCCGGGUUCAGGUAAAGGAUGGUACUGCUGGAGAUUCAGCCUGAUAUUCAAGAUGGGCAAUUACCGUCAGAGGAUGAUGGCAGCUGGAUGCCCUGAAGUUCUUGUAAAUAAAAGAAAAAGAAAGGGAAACACCAAGCCAGUCAAGAAGGCAAAAAAGGGAGAGAUCAACUACUUACCAGAGCCACCUGAUGGACAAAGUACUGUUAAAUCAGAGAAGGAUCGUGAGACCAUGCUUUUGGAAGUGCAGAAGAGAGAGCCAGAUUUGCACCUGCUCGAUGAAUUGAUGACUGCAACAUUCUCCCAGCGAAGACAAGAGAUCAUUGGUGACGAGCCACUCAUUUCUGCAGUCAAGGACAGAUGGCCUGCAUUGUUUAGUGAGAGACAGCUCAUUGCUGAGUUCAGUAGAAUCGUCACCAAAGACCUGCUGGAGUCAUUCCUGGAUGGACUUGAUGCCUUGGUGCCAGGUGUUCUACAGAUGUACGGAGAAGCUGCUGCAUCAGGCAGGAGUGUGCGCCUGAGCAGUGUUCUCAGUUGUCUUCAAAAGGAGGACACGAACCAAAACAAAAGAGCAGCUGUCCUACUUGGUCUUCCAUGCUACCUUGCAGAAGAUUCCUCUGACAUAAUCAGGAUGUGUGAUGCUCAUGGUGAAACCCUUGACGUGCUAAUGAGCGGGAUGCAAGUUGGACUGUUGAUUGGACACGAAGGCCCUCUGCAUGAUGCAUUUCCAUUGGAUGUUUUCAACGUGGCUCUGGUAGUAGAGGAGAAGAUUAUCCUACAUGACCUCCGAGAUGUGUCCACAGGCUUUGCCAUGUUACUGGGUGCAAUCUACUGCCUAAACCUUGAGUACCCACGUAAUAUGAAGUAUUCUUUUGAGUUCCUUCAGAGGGUUGUCAUGAACAUUAAACCGGAACAAUGUUCACCCAGAAUCCAUGGACUCAGAAAUAAACUGCUUAGAUAUCGCAUGUAAACAAAGAAAUGCACUUGUCAAGCAACUACUAGGAGGCAGCAGUUAUUUGGGAAGCUUGCCUUGUUCUUUACACUAGCAUACAGGUUUUCAUCGGCUUAGUUUGUUCAGCACAAGUCAGGUAUGCGUGACAAAUGUGUCACUUGUGAAGUUGAAAAAUCUGAAAUUGUUGAAAAAUCUAAAAUAGUUUAAAUGUGCAAAACAUUUUGAGGUAUAAUGAAAACAAACUUUUGUUUCGAAUUGUGGUUAAAGAAUCUUUUAGAAGUGGAUGUUGAUGUUUUGUAAAGCUCUGCGUAUACCACAUUUUUCCUCUGUACAACUUCGCCAUACUUAUUCUCUCAUUCACAGUUUUAAAAUUGUGUUAAAUUAACACAAAUGUAAGUGAGGAUAAGUAAGUAAGUAUUUAUAAUGUACACCAUUGUUUUUGUUCAUAUGACGAUAUGGACCGGUUAUCUCACUUUUUGCCUCUUAUGACACCUGCCCAUCUGUCCCCCUUUCCUCAGCACUCUCGGUUGUCAACCUCAGUGAGGCCUGUUUUGAUGCAAAGACAUGUUUAAGAUGUAUCAAUGUUCCACAUUGUUCAUAUUCAUGUCGAGAUUUUAUGAUUAUCUGUUUACUAUCUCACAUACGUCAUUGUUCAACCCCACCUCACCUUCUUUCUUUCUACGAGUCCACCCUCUGUCUCGCUGUCAGUCCACCCUCUGUCUGUCUGUCUGUCUGUCUGCAAGUCCACCCUCUGUCUGACUGUCAUGUCUGUCUGCAA